RNAcentral lists this long non-coding RNA (249 nucleotides) under Trifolium pratense (red clover). RNAcentral's name for it is "long non-coding RNA (TPRA_LNC011008)". Lineage: Eukaryota; Viridiplantae; Streptophyta; Magnoliopsida; Fabales; Fabaceae. The record is from RNAcentral.
AAGUCUUUUGCUUUUGCUUUUCUUAUUAAGGAUUUGACUUUUGUUCUUUUUGUUUUAAUGAUUUCUAGUAAUUGAAGAAAUAUAUUUACUUUGCAAAACUAGUUGAAAUCAUUCAGUAAUUCAACUAUAGAAAUAUGCAAUGAUUCAACUACAGAUAGCUAACUCGUGUGUCUGGUUCAUACGCCACAUAAUACUGGUUGGUUAUUUCCCUCUUAAUUUAUAUUCCACUCUCUUAUAGAGUUAAGGGUU